Non-coding RNA from Zootermopsis nevadensis, 2221 nucleotides. The record is from RefSeq and is a predicted model, not a curated record. NCBI's taxonomy places the organism in Eukaryota, Metazoa, Arthropoda, Insecta, Blattodea, Termopsidae.
UCACAAAAAUAAUGUGAUAAAGCAAAUUAUUAUUAAUACGAUCAAUUCGUGUUCGACACUUCACUCGUAAGUCAGAUGUUAUAGUAGUGAUGUGUGCGAGGUAGAACUAUUAAUUUUUGGUGCCGGAGAUCUUGACUGAAACAAGGUAAGUUUAUUUACUACUCGUAUAAUCUCGAAAUGUCUCACUUAAAUUUCGAAAAAAAUUAAUUACAACUGGAAUAACUUUUAUUAUGUUAUGUAACUGCAUAUUAUCAGCGUGAUGUUACUUGUUAGAGCGCGUUAUAUUAAAAUUUGUAGCUAGAUUGUGUGGUAAUAUUUUGUGCGUGCGACUAAUUAAUUUUAUCCCCAGUUUUAAACUUAUUAAUAAUUAAUUAUACUAUUUUCUAUUCGGACUUAGGGUUAUGACCAGCAUAUUUCAAAAAUAAAUAUAUACCUUCCAGGAGCAACUAAGGGAACACUUAAAAAAGAAGCAGAUGAAAGAGGGAAAAAAGGACAGACUGAUAUAACCAACUGGCUUAAGACAAAAGAUUUGCAGCAAUAAAACAGUUCCCCAAGGGUCAAUUCUAGGGCCUUUGCUCUUCGUAGCUAACUAACUAGAUGGCUCAGAAAAGUGAUGCUAAGUUUAGAGUUGCACUAUGGUCCGAUAAAAAGUCACAAAGUUACAGGCUGAUAUUACUAGUUCUCAUUUUUAUCGUUUUCAGAUCGUGAAACGAACAAAUCUGGAACUUGGUUCAUUUGCGUGCAGCGACAUCGUAGUUCGGCGGAGAAUACCGCAGCAGCUCAUUUGUGUGUGGAUUCAGCAGGCGUAUUGAUAUUCACAUACAGAUAUAGUGAAACGCACAAAUCUGCAACUACGUUCAUUUGCGUUCAGCGACCACGCAGUUUGUCGGGAAAUAACGCAGCAACUAAGAAGCCUGUGAAUUCAGACGACGCAUUGUUAUUCACUGUGAGACUUGUGGUUUGUUGGUUGUUUGAAGACGUCUUAUCAUACAAAUGUUGAUCGUUUAAAAACUCUAUUAACUUGGAGUUAUUCAAACAUAAUAUAACUCGAACGUCACAUUCCUUUCAAAUUUACAUUUAAACAGUAAAAUACAAUUAGUAUUUAGUGUCACUGGUCAAAACAUCCUAAUAAGCGAAAUUUCAUAACACGGCAGAAUUACAGACCGUUCCCAAAGUGUACGAAAGAGUGGUUCAUUUACUUAAAGUGGUAUGUUUCCAGUCUUAAUAAAAAUGAAUAAUAGGGUCAGAUAUUGAAUAGUUUAAAGUUGCACUAUUAUCCGAUUAAUAUUCAAAAAGUUACAGACUGAUAAUUUGCGUUAUCAUAUUUCGUGAUUACAGAUUGUCAAAUACACAUUUCUGCAACUACGUUUAUUUGCGUGCAGCGACCACGUAGAUUGUCGGGGAAUAUCGCAGUAAUUAAGAAGUGUGUGAAUUCAGACGACGCAUUGUUAUUCACUGAAAAACUUGUGGUUCGAUUGUUGUUUGAAGACCUCUUAUCAUACAAAUAUUGAUUAUUUGUAACACUAUUAAUUUGGAGUCAUUCAAACAUGAUAUCGUGAAACGCACAAAUGUGAUACAACAUUCAUUAGCGGGCACCGACUACGUAGUCUGUCGGGGAUUAUCGCAGCAACUAAGAAGUGUGUGAAUUCAAACGACGCAAUGUUAUUCACUGAGAGACAUGUGGUUUGAUGAUUGUUUGAAGAAGUCUUAUCACACAAAUGUUGUGUAUUUGAAACACUAUUUCCAUCGAGAUAUUCAAAUAUAAUGUACCUCGACCGUUAUAUCCCUUUCAAAAUUACGUAUUAACGGUUUGAUACAAUCAGUAUUUAGUGUCAUUGGGACAAAGAACUUAAUAAGCGAAAUUUGAGUCCCCGGCUACAUUACAGACCGUUCCUAAUGUGUAAGAAAGAGUGGUUCAUAAACUUAAAGUGAAAUGUUUCCAGUCUUAAUAAAAAUGUGCAUUACGGUCAGAUAUCGAAUAGUUUAAAGUUGCACCAAUGCCCGAAUGAUAUUCUAAAAGUUACAAGCUGAUAUAUUGUGUAAUAUUUAGCAUUUUCAAAUCGUGAAACGCACAAAUCUGCAACAACGUUCAUUAGCAUGCAGCGAACACGUAGAUUGUCGAGGAAUAUCGCAGCUUCUAAGAAAUGUGUGAUUUCAGACGUCGCAUUGUUAUUUGCUUAAUGUACAAUUUGGCUGCACGCGACAGAGACAAGCGACCGAG